CUCAAAAAUCUGCUCCAUUUUAAUAAUACUCAAUGCAUUGAAAUUUGAUCAUCACCAAGAAUUUUGAUGGUUCAUCACUAUCCACUUAUCUACUCUUAACUUAUCAAACAAUUAUUUGGCAUCCAAUGGCAACCUGCUCCAACAUUCUUGCCUGGAGAAUCCCAGGGACAGCAGAGCCUGGUGGGCUGCCAUCUAUGGGGUCACACAGAGUCGGACAUGACUGAAGCGACUUAGCAGCAGCAGCAGCAUGUGCCAAGUACCAUCCUAAGUUCUGGGGACCCAAAGACAAGUUUAAGUGAACCUAGAUUCUCAAGUCUCUUCAGAGAGAAGGGCUGCCUCAUCAUUAUUCUCUUCAUAUUAUUAUCUUCUUCCUUCAAAAGCAAGUGGAUCCCCACAUUUGAAAGAUGUUUGAACUUGGAAAUUGUUUAAGAAAGAUCAUAACUAACUGUAAAUGGAAAUAAAUGCCUACUAAAGCAAAAUAAUUAAAACAGACUCUUCACCAAUGUGGCUGUCAGGAAUGAGAAGCCAGGGACCGGAAGCUAUCAUCGUGACAGGCUGUAUUCUGCUAACCAAAGCCAGGCCAAUAAAAACUCCAGACUUCCAACACCCUGCAAGCUGCUCCUGCCACCUCUCGGCUUCUGGUCUCCUUCCACCGCUCACACUGGCGGGUCUGCUGCACAUCACGCUCCCCGGGUACCGCAGCAGAUGCUUACCACCCACGUACUCCUCAGGAUGCGAAGUCAGAGGAGAGAAAUCUCGGUGUCUCUUGCAGCAAGGAAAAGGAGGGGAAAAAUCACCAGGCUACGCUCACUGGGAUUAUCUUGUCCACUCGUAUGAUUUCUCUUUCCUUCCUUGAAGGGCUCUGUAAGUGCCCUUAAAAGUGUG
RNAcentral lists this long non-coding RNA (885 nucleotides) under Capra hircus (goat). Its description in RNAcentral is "lncRNA (ENSCHIG00000005897.1)". The record is from RNAcentral. Lineage: Eukaryota; Metazoa; Chordata; Mammalia; Artiodactyla; Bovidae.